RNAcentral lists this long non-coding RNA (2568 nucleotides) under Strigops habroptila (Kakapo). RNAcentral describes it as "lncRNA (ENSSHBG00005002047.1)". The record is from RNAcentral. Lineage: Eukaryota; Metazoa; Chordata; Aves; Psittaciformes; Psittacidae.
CGAAACAUACACACUUUAUUCAGCACAAACAAGACAAAGAUCCCUGUGACAUCUUUUUCCAACUUUUUCCCAUUAAACCCUUUGCAUCAAGUCCCAAGAUCAUCUUUUCCUGCCCAGGUUUGCCUUCUUAUGGAAGGAGAACCAUUAAAGCAGGCCCCAUUCUUCUGUAGCUUCCAAUUCCUUUUGACACACCAUCUUCCAGCCAGGAUCAUGAGGUUACCUAUUUUUCAAGUCCUUGCCUGCAGGACAGCAUUCUUGCAACUCAUUUCUUCCAGAAAAAGCUGCUGCAGAACCUGGACCAGGUCAGGAUCUGGUCACCCUUUCACAUCCUUGCUGAGUCUUCUCUAUGUUGCUCUGUGCCUUUUAACAUUUCUGUAAAUCCAGUCCAUCAGGGAGGUAAGAAGACAACAGAGAGAACACGAAACAGUCUCAGAGCACGGAGACUGCUAUGGACAGUGAAGGUGAUAAUUGGCUUACAUACAGCAACGAAGACUUCAGCUAGCUGUGGGCAAGCUUCCUAACAGUAAAAGCUAGAAUAGCUUGCUUAGGGAAGACUACAGUCCCCAUCACAACAGGUCAAACAGACUGGGAAUACUUCAGAUAUAGAUGAUGUUGGCUUAGGGUAGAGAGGCAUAGAGCUAGAUCAUCUCUCACAAACCUAUCACCUUGUGUUACCUGUUAAAAUAACAUCUGCAGUCUUGUGAAAGAUACAUACAAGAACAGGUCAAAGAGAGAACGUACUGCACAUCCAUCAGCAGUUCCUCUGAGACGUUAUGUUAGAGCAUUUGCAAGCAAAAAAGGGAAGAAAAUAAAUGAUUGCAAAGCCAAGUCACAGAAAAACAUUCUCAAGUAGUUUCCUGCUGGUACAACAACCAGUAAAUAACCAAGCUGCUGUCAGAGGCUCAGGUCUAUACUGCAAGCUAUUUGCUCAAAUAUGGAUGGUUUUCCAGGAAGUGUGUCCUAGGAAAAGUGUCAGAAUAUCCAUUUUACACAUACAGAGAUCCUGUUGCCCCCAGUGAUUUCAAUAUAUCCAAAAUGAGAGUACAAGGGGACUGCAAUAGUCUAGUCAGCCAUCUGGUGAUAUCAAUGUGACCAAGUCCAUCCAAAGAGAGUAGAUUCCUUCCCCGUGCAGUCCAAACUUAGGGUUUUAUUAAGAGGUCGCCUUCUCAGCCUGGACAAUACCGUACCACCUCCUUCAGAGCACACCGUUAAACACAGGCUUCUUCUGUAACUGCCAUUUCUGAACACCCAACACAUAUUUGUCAGGUGGAAAGUGUUUGCUGGCCAGUCAGGAGGAUUAUUUCUAGAGUCAGACUCCCGCACACAUUCAGACUGUGCUAACAAAUGAGUAUUCCACCAAAAAACUUCACAAGAAAACCAUAGGCUCUUUGUGGAGCCCCCAAAGAGAUGGGAGACAGAGAGAGCUGCCUGCUCAAGAGAAUUACAAAGGGCAUAGGGAGUCUAAAACGGAGUCUAAAGGGGUACAGAUAAAGUUAAGUCUCAACCCUGUGAUUCAGAGACUAUGAAAUUUUGAUUAACAUUUGGGAAGAUAGUUAUAUUAUAAGGGAAAGAAGUAGGUUAAGAAAGAGAAUUCAACUACAUAGCACACACUAUUCAUCAGUUCAUGUUCAACUACUUGCUCAUUCAUCCCAAGUAAUCGCAUUUAAAGGAUCCACUCAUGCAUAGGCAGGAUUACAGUCUGAGCUUACAAACCCCUCUCCAGUGACAGGAAAAAUAUCUGUGGUAAGAUGAGUGCCUGCAGCUACACUAAGCAGGCAGAUUUCAACCCCUACAGACCUGCAAACAUCACACCUACCUUCCACAUGGACCUGUGUAAAACCUCUACUUACAGAUUGAUUCUGACUAAAUACGAGGUUUACACUGGUCUGCUGAAAUCACCGUGCCUUUUAUUCAGCUGCUGUGUCAGCAAAGCACUUGCAAAUUCCCAAGGACAGGCAGCAGGGGGGAUUUGAGGAGCCACAAUUUUAGCAUUAGGAACAUUCCUUCUUGCCAUUCCGUCAGGAGGCAGCUGGCUUCACCAGACAGACCAUUCCAUUGAGCUUCAGCAUCUGGAAUAGAUCACACAGCUACACCACGGACAUCAGCCAGGGCUCUGACAGUAUUUCCACACCAUGCCCUUCAAAAACACUAGAUGCACCAGUGCCUUGACCACUGCGUCAAGGUGAGCCAGAUUAACUCCCCACAGUCCCUCUUCUACGCAUUUGCCCUCAGUCAGAAGGUUUUAUUCAGAUCUCAUUUCCACCCCUGGACAUGGAAAUGAACUACAUUUGAGGAGAGGUUAAAAUAACUGACCUGGUUGAGACUGUAAAGGAAGAAGUGCCACACUGUCCCAUUCUGUAUCACAUAGUCACAGGAGAACUGCAUGCCAAGGCUAGAAAACCUAGGGUAAGUCCUGUCUUGUUCUUGUUAUGCUUGUAAUUCUUGUAUCUAACCAGAUGCAUGUUUGUAAUCCUUGAUGCAAAGCCUUUCUGCUUGUAAUAUUACACAGAGUUAGGGCAAAAAGUGAAGUCUCAUGUAUUACACUACAUUUUCACACGUACAAAACCC